Oncorhynchus tshawytscha (Chinook salmon) is the source of this 1066-nucleotide long non-coding RNA. The record is from Ensembl. Lineage: Eukaryota; Metazoa; Chordata; Actinopteri; Salmoniformes; Salmonidae.
GUGGCUAACAGCAAGCGUUACAAAGCAAUCACUAGCCUGCUAUUCAGUGGAAAGGGUGUGUGGUCUAAGUCUGGGAUUAAGAGUCUCUUUUCCAAUCUUAAAAGGAUAAACAUUCACGUGCAACACCCAUGGGCCAGAAAAGGUUGACUACAUUGACCACGCUGUCAAUCCAGUUUGACUUCUGCCGCAUUCAAAACAACUGGAAACUCGGAACUGGGAAAUCUCAGACUUUAGUGAGUUCAAGACAACUGGGAACUCUGAAAAAAACGAGCUCCCACUGUGAAAAUACGAUUUGGACGGUCAUUCAAAUCGGAAGUCCAAGUCGAGAACUCAAGCCUCCUUCUAGAACUCCGACCUGAAGAUCACUGACGUCAUAAUAGAGUUCCCAGUUGUCUUGAAAGAACUAUACAUCCAGAGAAUGCCAGACUUUGAUGACAAGGUCCGAUGGCAAAAAGAAGGGCCGCCGCGACCACCUUCCUGUAAAAGUGAACACAGCACAACAAUUGGAGGAUUGGAGGAAUGAGGGAGAGAGUGAAGAGAAGAGAGGAGAGGAGGAGCGAGGGAGAGUGUGAAGAGAGGAGAAGAGGAACGAGAGAUGAGAGGAGAAGAGGAAUGAGGGAGAGAGUGAAGAGAAGAGAGGAGAGGAGGAGCGAGGGAGAGUGUGAAGAGAGGAGAAGAGGAACGAGAGAUGAGAGGAGAAGAGGAAUGAGGGAGAGUGUGAAGAGAGGAGAUGAGGAACAAGAGAUGAGAGGAGAGGAGGAACGAGGGGUGAGAGUGAAGAGAGGAGAGGAGAAGAAAUGAAACACAUCACAUGACUAGACUAGGGACCUGCAUGCUCCAAGAAUGGGGUAGAGCUCUAGGGCUGUUUUGGGAGGAAGUGGUGGUCGAGAUCCUGCCCAAAUAGAUGUGCAGGCAUUGCAUUGCAUCAACCAAUGGUUGCGUGCCACCUCAUUGACUGUGCAGUUGGGCAUCAGUUUACCAUAUUACAGUAUAUGAUCUGGUCACUGGUCAGCUGAUCUGUAACAUACCUAUCUAGGAGCUGUAAGAUCUGAUCACUGGUCAGCUG